GAUGAAGAACGUAGCGAAAUGCGAUACGUAAUGUGAAUUGCAAAUUCAGUGAAUCAUCGAGUCUUUGAACGCACAUUGCGCCCCCUGGUAUUCCGGGGGGCAUGCCUGUCCGAGCGUCAUUGCUGCCCUCAAGCACGGCUUGUGUGUUGGGCCCCGUCCUCCGAUCCCGGGGGACGGGCCCGAAAGGCAGCGGCGGCACCGCGUCCGGUCCUCGAGCGUAUGGGGCUUUGUCACCCGCUCUGUAGGCCCGGCCGGCGCUUGCCGAUCAACCCAAAUUUUUAUCCAGGUUGACCUCGGAUCAGGUAGGGAUACCCGCUAAACUUAAGCAUAUCAAUAAGCGGAGGA
Molecule: unclassified non-coding RNA, 345 nt
Filed under: soil metagenome
Description: partial contains 5.8S ribosomal RNA, internal transcribed spacer 2, and large subunit ribosomal RNA
Rfam family: 5.8S ribosomal RNA (bases 1-119)
Source: RNAcentral